RNAcentral lists this ribosomal RNA (1035 nucleotides) under human gut metagenome. RNAcentral describes it as "bacterial LSU rRNA". It matches the Rfam family "Bacterial large subunit ribosomal RNA", at positions 1350 to 2461 of the family's 2925-position model. The record is from RNAcentral.
GUUUCUUGGGGAAGGUUCGUCCGCCCAAGGUAAGCCGGGAGCUAAGGCGAGGCCGAAAGGCGUAGUCGAUGCACAUACGGUUGAAAUUCCGUAGCCACCUUAUCGUUAAAAGCUGACACAUAGAGAUAGCCGAACCCGGGCGUUGGUUGACCCGGGCGAAAGGGACCGAACUACAGUAGGGAAGUCGGCGAUGCUCUGUGGCGAGAAAAGGCGAAGAUAGGGUGCCCGUACCGCAAACCGACACAGGUAGAUGAGGAGAGAAUCCUAAGGCCAACGGGAGAAAGGUUGUUAAGGAACUCGGCAAAAUUGCCCCGUAACUUCGGGAGAAGGGGCGCCCUCGAAAGAGGGCCGCAGUGAAAAGGCCCAAGCGACUGUUUACCAAAAACACAGGUCUCUGCUAAAUCGAAAGAUGACGUAUAGGGGCUGACGCCUGCCCGGUGCUGGAAGGUUAAGAGGAGGACUUAGCGCAAGCGAAGGUCUGAAUUUAAGCCCCAGUAAACGGCGGCCGUAACUAUAACGGUCCUAAGGUAGCGAAAUUCCUUGUCAGGUAAGUUCUGACCCGCACGAAUGGCGUAACGAUCUGGGCACUGUCUCAACAGCCCGCCCGGCGAAAUUGUAGUACCGGUGAAGAUGCCGGUUACCCGCAACUAGACGGAAAGACCCCAUGGAGCUUUACUGCAGCUUAAUACUGAGAUUCGGUAAUUCAUGUACAGGAUAGGUGGGAGACUUAGAAACAGGGUCGUCAGGCACUGUGGAGUCACCCUUGGGAUACCACCCUUGGAUUGCUGGGUUUCUAACCUGCGGCCAUGAAUCUGGUCGGGGGACACUGUUAGGCGGGCAGUUUGACUGGGGCGGUCGCCUCCUAAAAAGUAGCGGAGGCGCUCAAAGCUUGGCUCAGCAUGGAUGGAAAUCAUGCAAUGAGUGUAAACGUAUAAGCCAAGUUGACUGCGAGACCGACGGGUCGAGCAGGUACGAAAGUAGGAGUUAGUGAUCCGGUGGUAUGUGAGUGGAAAUGCCAUCGCUCAACGGAUAAAA